This 447-nucleotide ribosomal RNA is filed under the name uncultured Hyphomonas sp. RNAcentral's name for it is "bacterial SSU rRNA". It matches the Rfam family "Bacterial small subunit ribosomal RNA", at positions 337 to 801 of the family's 1533-position model. The record is from RNAcentral. Lineage: Bacteria; Pseudomonadati; Pseudomonadota; Alphaproteobacteria; Hyphomonadales; Hyphomonadaceae.
UCCUACGGGAGGCAGCAGUGGGGAAUCUUGCACAAUGGGCGAAAGCCUGAUGCAGCCAUGCCGCGUGAAUGAUGAAGGCCUUAGGGUUGUAAAAUUCUUUCGCUAGGGAUGAUAAUGACAGUACCUAGUAAAGAAGCCCCGGCUAACUUCGUGCCAGCAGCCGCGGUAAUACGAAGGGGGCUAGCGUUGUUCGGAAUUACUGGGCGUAAAGCGCACGUAGGCGGACUUUUAAGUCAGAUGUGAAAUCCCGGGGCUCAACCUCGGAACUGCAUUUGAAACUGGAAGUCUAGAGACCAGGAGAGGUUAGCGGAAUACCGAGUGUAGAGGUGAAAUUCGUAGAUAUUCGGUGGAACACCAGUGGCGAAGGCGGCUAACUGGACUGGUACUGACGCUGAGGUGCGAAAGUGUGGGGAGCAAACAGGAUUAGAUACCCUGGUAGUCCACACC